RNAcentral lists this ribosomal RNA (253 nucleotides) under uncultured bacterium. RNAcentral describes it as "partial 16S ribosomal RNA". It matches the Rfam family "Bacterial small subunit ribosomal RNA", at positions 524 to 776 of the family's 1533-position model. The record is from RNAcentral.
UACGAGGGGGGCAAGCGUUGUUCGGAAUUAUUGGGCGUAAAGGGCGCGUAGGCGGUUUGACAAGUCUGAUGUGAAAUCUAUGGGCUCAACCCAUAGCCUGCAUUAGAAACUGUCGGGCUUGAGUAUGGGAGAGGUGAGUGGAAUUUCCGGUGUAGCGGUGAAAUGCGUAGAUAUCAGGAAGAACACCCGUGGCUAAGGCGGCUCUCUAGUACGGUACUGACGCUGAGACGCGAAAGCGUGGGGAGCGAACAGG